RNAcentral lists this ribosomal RNA (442 nucleotides) under uncultured bacterium. Its description in RNAcentral is "bacterial SSU rRNA". It matches the Rfam family "Bacterial small subunit ribosomal RNA", at positions 66 to 518 of the family's 1533-position model. The record is from RNAcentral.
GUUAGGAGUUACGGUAGUGGAAGUUUAAAAACUUAGUGGCGGACGGGUGAGUAACGCGUGGGUAACCUGCCUCAUACAGGGGGAUAACAGUUAGAAAUGACUGCUAAGACCGCAUAAUAUAGCGAAACCGCAUGAUUUUGCUAUCAAAUAUUUAUAGGUAUGAGAUGGGCCCGCGUCUGAUUAGCUAGUUGGUGGGGUAAAAGCCUACCAAGGCGACGAUCAGUAGCCGGCUUGAGAGAGUGACCGGCCACAUUGGGACUGAGACACGGCCCAAACUCCUACGGGAGGCAGCAGUGGGGAAUAUUGGACAAUGGGGGAAACCCUGAUCCAGCGAACCGCCGCGUGAGUGGAGAAGUAUUUCGGUAUGUAAAGCUCUAUCAGCAGGGAAGAUAAUGACAGUACCUGACUAAGAAGCCCCGGCUAACUACGUGCCAGCCGCAGC